GGGUUGUGAGGUUAAGCGACUAAGCGUACACGGUGGAUGCCCUGGCAGUCAGAGGCGAUGAAGGGCGUGCUAAUCUGCGAUAAGCGCCGGUAAGGUGAUAUGAACCGUUAUAACCGGCGAUACCCGAAUGGGGAAACCCAGUGUGACUCGUCACACUAUCAUUAACUGAAUCCAUAGGUUAAUGAGGCGAACCGGGGGAACUGAAACAUCUAAGUACCCCGAGGAAAAGAAAUCAACCGAGAUUCCCCCAGUAGCGGCGAGCGAACGGGGAGGAGCCCAGAGCCUGAAUCAGCAUGUGUGUUAGUGGAAGCGUCUGGAAAGGCGCGCGAUACAGGGUGACAGCCCCGUACACAAAAGCGCAUGUGCUGUGAGCUCGAUGAGUAGGGCGGGACACGUGGUAUCCUGUCUGAAUAUGGGGGGACCAUCCUCCAAGGCUAAAUACUCCUGACUGACCGAUAGUGAACCAGUACCGUGAGGGAAAGGCGAAAAGAACCCCGGCGAGGGGAGUGAAAAAGAACCUGAAACCGUGUACGUACAAGCAGUGGGAGCCCCACCACCAAAGCAUUUGCUGUACCGCGUUGACGGAGCGAAGCGACGUCAAACCGAUAAAACAGCAGUGUAAAGUGAGCCGCAGGGCGCUUUGCGCGACAGCGCAAAGGCAGGCGGUUUCGCGUAGCGAAAGCGAAUGCUUUGGGGUGGGGUGACUGCGUACCUUUUGUAUAAUGGGUCAGCGACUUAUAUUCUGUAGCAAGGUUAACCGAAUAGGGGAGCCGGAGGGAAACCGAGUCUUAAUUGGGCGUUAAGUUGCAGGGUAUAGACCCGAAACCCGGUGAUCUAGCCAUGGGCAGGUUGAAGGUUGGGUAACACUAACUGGAGGACCGAACCGACUAAUGUUGAAAAAUUAGCGGAUGACCUGUGGCUGGGGGUGAAAGGCCAAUCAAACCGGGAGAUAGCUGGUUCUCCCCGAAAGCUAUUUAGGUAGCGCCUCGUGAAUUCAUCUCCGGGGGUAGAGCACUGUUUCGGCUAGGGGGCCAUCCCGGCUUACCAACCCGAUGCAAACUGCGAAUACCGGAGAAUGUUAUCACGGGAGACACACGGCGGGUGCUAACGUCCGUCGUGAAGAGGGAAACAACCCAGACCGCCAGCUAAGGUCCCAAAGUCAUGGUUAAGUGGGAAACGAUGUGGGAAGGCCCAGACAGCCAGGAUGUUGGCUUAGAAGCAGCCAUCAUUUAAAGAAAGCGUAAUAGCUCACUGGUCGAGUCGGCCUGCGCGGAAGAUGUAACGGGGCUAAACCAUGCACCGAAGCUGCGGCAGCGACACUGUGUGUUGUUGGGUAGGGGAGCGUUCUGUAAGCCUGUGAAGGUGUGUCGUGAGGCAUGCUGGAGGUAUCAGAAGUGCGAAUGCUGACAUAAGUAACGAUAAAGCGGGUGAAAAGCC
RNAcentral lists this ribosomal RNA (1437 nucleotides) under Salmonella enterica subsp. enterica serovar Enteritidis str. 10-34587. RNAcentral's name for it is "bacterial LSU rRNA". It matches the Rfam family "Bacterial large subunit ribosomal RNA", at positions 1 to 1330 of the family's 2925-position model. Lineage: Bacteria; Pseudomonadati; Pseudomonadota; Gammaproteobacteria; Enterobacterales; Enterobacteriaceae. The record is from RNAcentral.